Molecule: ribosomal RNA, 1483 nt
Filed under: uncultured Bordetella sp.
Lineage: Bacteria; Pseudomonadati; Pseudomonadota; Betaproteobacteria; Burkholderiales; Alcaligenaceae
Description: partial 16S-23S ribosomal RNA intergenic spacer
Rfam family: Bacterial small subunit ribosomal RNA
Source: RNAcentral
AGUUCGAUCCUAGCUCAGAUUGAACGCUGGCGGGAUCAUUACACAUGCAAGUCGAACGGCAGCCUGGACUUCGGUCUGGUGGCGAGUGGCGAACGGGUGAGUAAUGUAUCGGAACGUGCCUAGUAGCGGGGGAUAACUACGCGGCGUAGCUAAUACCGCAUACGCCCUUCGGGGGAAAGCGGGGGACCUUCGGGCCUCGCACUAUUAAGAGCAGCCGAUAUCGGAUUAGCUAGUUGGUGGGGUAACGGCUCGCCAAGGCGACGAUCCAUCGCUGGUUUGAGAGGACGACAACCACACUGGGACUGAGACUGGCCCAGACUCCUACGGGAGGCAGCAGUGGGGAAUUUUGGACAAUGGGGGAAACCUGAUCCAGCCAUCCCGCGUGUGCGAUGAAGGCCUUCGGGUUGUAAAGCACUUUUGGCAGGAAAAGAAACGGCACAGGAUAAUACCCCGUGCAACUGACGGUACCUGCAGAAUAAGCACCGGCUAACUACGUGCCAGCAGCCGCGGUAAUACGUAGGGUGCAAGCGUUAAUCGGAAUUACUGGGCGUAAAGCGUGCGCAGGCGGUUCGGAAAGAAGAUGUGAAAUCCCAGAGCUUAACUUUGGAACUGCAUUUUUAACUACCGAGCUAGAGUGUGUCAGAGGAGGUGGAAUUCCGCGUGUAGCAGUGAAAUGCGUAGAUAUGCGGAGAGACACCGAUGGCGAGGCAGCCUCCUGGGAUAACACUGACGCUCAUGCACGAAAGCGUGGGGAGCAAACAGGAUUAGAUACCCUGGUAGUCCACGCCCUAAACGAUGUCAACUAGCUGUUGGGGCCUUCGGGCCUUGGUAGCGCAACUAACGCGUAAAGUUGACCGCCUGGGGAAAUACGGUCGCAAGAUUAAAACUCAAAGGAAUUGACGGGGACCCGCACAAGCGGUGGAUGAUGUGGAUUAAUUCGAUGCAACGCGCGAAAAACCUUACCUACCCUUGACAUGUCUGGAAUCCCGAAGAGAUUUGGAGUGCUCGCAAAGAGAACCGGAACACAGGUGCUGCAUGGCUGUCGUCAGCUCGUGUCGUGAGAUGUUGGGUUAAGUCCGCAACGAGCGCAACCCUUAUACAUUAGUUGCUACGAAGAGGGCACUCUAAUGAGACUGCCGGUGACAAACCGGAGGAAGGUGGGGAUGACGUCAAGUCCUCAUGGCCCUUAUGGGUAGGGCUUCACACGUCAUACAAUGGUCAGGACAGAGGUCGCCAACCCGCGAGGGGGGAGCCAAUCCCAGAAACCCGAUCGUAGUCCGGAUCGCAGUCUGCAACUCGACUGCGUGAAGUCGGAAUCGCUAGUAAUCGCGGAUCAGCAUGUCGCAGUGAUGCGUUCCCGGGUCUUGUACACACCGCCCGUCACACCAUGGGAGUGGGUUUUACCCGAAGUAGUUAGCCUAACCGUAAGGAGGGCGAUUACCACGACCAGAUUCAUGACUGGGGUGAAGUCGUAACAAGGUAG